AUGCUGAAUACUCCUGAAAUUGCCAGCUUGCUAGGUAAUAAAACUAAAAGAAUGCUGCACAUGGUCAGGCUGACCAAAAAGAUUGAUGGUGAGGAACCACAUAUGCAUGCAAGAUUCUCCAAGAUGGAGGAAGGGAAAAGAAUUGAUGUUUCGAUGUUGGUGACAAUGCCUCUGAAUUCUCCCACCGCUCUUGGGAAUGUCACACACAAAGGACCUCACACUACUACUAUGUGACAGCAACUAGAUGGUGAGCAAGUGAAAUCAGUUCAAAGCCUGGUUGGAGACCAUGUCUGUAGCUUGCCAGUCACCUUAAUUAGAAGACAAACUACUCCCAUUAGAAGGCUAUCCUAUUCUUGAAAUCAGUAAGUUAAUGUUAUGAUAAAGUCAUUAUUCUGAGAAAAUACACUGUGUGAACAUGGGAAUUAUUGGGGUUUGUUCCAAGUCUAAAAGGGCAGGCAUUCUUUGAGUAUCAGCAUUCAGACAGGGUUACUAUUAAGCAAAUUGAGAACAAAAAGUUCUCUUCAAUAUGUUAAGUGGGCAUAUUACUACCAAAGCAAACUCUUUUCCUUUGCUUUAUAAUUACUCUUCAAUAGAGAAUAUUAUUUCCUGUGCAGUGUAUAAACCAUAUAUGUUCAUUUUAGAAAAGCUGAAGUAAAUUCCUCAAAAAUAUAAUGAAGAUGGAAACUCAUAAUCAUGUAACUCUGAGAUAGCUACUGUGUAUACAAUAUUGUUAGAG
Molecule: long non-coding RNA, 736 nt
Filed under: Mustela putorius furo (domestic ferret)
Lineage: Eukaryota; Metazoa; Chordata; Mammalia; Carnivora; Mustelidae
Description: lncRNA (ENSMPUG00000030433.1)
Source: RNAcentral